This 440-nucleotide ribosomal RNA is filed under the name uncultured bacterium. Its description in RNAcentral is "bacterial SSU rRNA". It matches the Rfam family "Bacterial small subunit ribosomal RNA", at positions 338 to 770 of the family's 1533-position model. The record is from RNAcentral.
CCUACGGGUGGCAGCAGUGGGGAAUUUUGGACAAUGGGCGCAAGCCUGAUCCAGCCAUUCCGCGUGAGUGAAGAAGGCCUUCGGGUUGUAAAGCUCUUUCGCAAGGGAAGAAAACUUAGCCACUAACAUUGGCUGAGGUUGACGGUACCUUGAUAAGAAGCACCGGCUAACUACGUGCCAGCAGCCGCGGUAAUACGUAGGGUGCGAGCGUUAAUCGGAAUUACUGGGCGUAAAGCGUGCGCAGGCGGCUUUGUAAGUCAGAUGUGAAAUCCCCGAGCUCAACUUGGGAACUGCGUUUGAAACUACAAGGCUAGAAUAUGUCAGAGGGGGGUAGAAUUCCACGUGUAGCAGUGAAAUGCGUAGAGAUGUGGAGGAAUACCAAUGGCGAAGGCAGCCCCCUGGGAUAAUAUUGACGCUCAUGCACGAAAGCGUGGGGAGCA